CUUUCCGAGGAGCGUUGCAGCGUCCCCAGCACAGCGGGGCGUGAGGCUCGGAAGCCGGUUCCUUCGCAACGACGCUCACCCACG
Molecule: non-coding RNA, 84 nt
Filed under: Acidovorax sp. Leaf160
Lineage: Bacteria; Pseudomonadati; Pseudomonadota; Betaproteobacteria; Burkholderiales; Comamonadaceae
Also listed under: 1 other name
Description: SAH (S-adenosyl-L-homocysteine) riboswitch aptamer
Rfam family: SAH (S-adenosyl-L-homocysteine) riboswitch aptamer
Source: Rfam by way of RNAcentral